UACAUGAAGCUGGAAUCGCUAGUAAUCGCGAAUCAGAAUGUCGCGGUGAAUACGUUCCCGGGUCUUGUACACACCGCCCGUCACACCAUGAGAGUUGGGAAUACCCGAAGCCUGUGAGCUAACUGUAAGGAGGCAGCAGUCGAAGGUAGAAUCAAUGAUUGGGGUGAAGUCGUAACAAGGUAGC
This 184-nucleotide ribosomal RNA is filed under the name uncultured bacterium. RNAcentral's name for it is "partial 16S ribosomal RNA". It matches the Rfam family "Bacterial small subunit ribosomal RNA", at positions 1317 to 1500 of the family's 1533-position model. The record is from RNAcentral.